Molecule: non-coding RNA, 110 nt
Organism: Acanthosepion pharaonis
Lineage: Eukaryota; Metazoa; Mollusca; Cephalopoda; Sepiida; Sepiidae
Source: the annotation of a GenBank genome assembly
UACAGCUAUAUCAGGGUGAAAACACCAAUUCUCGCACGAUCACAAAUGUUAAGCAACAUCGAGCCUGUUCAGUAACUAGAUGGGUGGCCGCUUGGGAAUGACAGAAACUG